Molecule: ribosomal RNA, 498 nt
Filed under: uncultured bacterium
Lineage: Bacteria
Description: partial 16S ribosomal RNA
Rfam family: Bacterial small subunit ribosomal RNA
Source: RNAcentral
AUUGAACGCUGGCGGCAUGCCUUACACAUGCAAGUCGAACGGCAGCGGACCUUCGGGUGCCGGCGAGUGGCGAACGGGUGAGUAAAGUAUCGGAACGUACCUUUCAGUGGGGGAUAACGUAGCGAAAGUUACGCUAAUACCGCAUAUUCUCUGAGGAGGAAAGCAGGGGACCUUCGGGCCUUGCGCUGAUGGAGCGGCCGAUAUCAGAUUAGCUAGUUGGUGGGGUAAAGGCCUACCAAGGCGACGAUCUGUAGCGGGUCUGAGAGGAUGAUCCGCCACACUGGGACUGAGACACGGCCCAGACUCCUACGGGAGGCAGCAGUGGGGAAUUUUGGACAAUGGGCGAAAGCCUGAUCCAGCCAUGCCGCGUGAGUGAAGAAGGCCUUCGGGUUGUAAAGCUCUUUCGGCCGGGAAGAAAUCGUGUGGGCUAAUACCCUGCAUGGAUGACGGUACCGGAAUAAGAAGCACCGGCUAACUACGUGCCAGCCGCCGCCGUAA